This 506-nucleotide ribosomal RNA is filed under the name uncultured bacterium. RNAcentral describes it as "bacterial LSU rRNA". It matches the Rfam family "Bacterial large subunit ribosomal RNA", at positions 2179 to 2677 of the family's 2925-position model. The record is from RNAcentral.
GGCAGAGCCAACCUUGAAAAUACCACCCUGGCUAACCUAAAAAUCUAACUCGCUUCCGUAAUCCGGAAGGAGGACAAUGCCUGGUGGGCAGUUUGACUGGGGCGGUCGCCUCCCAAAAAGUAACGGAGGCGCGCGAAGGUUCCCUCAGCCUGAUUGGAAACCAGGCGCAGAGUGUAAUGGCAUAAGGGGAGCUUGACUGCGAGACAAAACAAGGUCGAGCAGGUGCGAAAGCAGGUCAUAGUGAUCCGGUGGUCCUGUAAUGGAAAGGCCAUCGCUCAACGGAUAAAAGGUACUCCGGGGAUAACAGGCUUAUCACGCCCAAGAGUUCACAUCGACGGCGUGGUUUGGCACCUCGAUGUCGGCUCAUCGCAUCCUGGGGGCUGAAGUAGGUCCCAAGGGUUCGGCUGUUCGCCGAUUAAAGCGGUACGCGAGCUGGGUUCAAAAACGUCGUGAGACAGUUUGGUCCCUAUCCGCCGUGGGCGCAGGAGACUUGAGAGGAGCUAACC